AUUGAACGCUGGCGGCAUGCCUUACACAUGCAAGUCGAACGGCAGCGGACCUUCGGGUGCCGGCGAGUGGCGAACGGGUGAGUAAUAUAUCGGAACGUACCUUUCAGUGGGGGAUAACGUAGCGAAAGUUACGCUAAUACCGCAUAUUCUGUGAGCAGGAAAGCAGGGGAUCGCAAGACCUUGCGCUGAUUGAGCGGCCGAUAUCAGAUUAGCUAGUUGGUGAGGUAAAGGCUCACCAAGGCGACGAUCUGUAGCGGGUCUGAGAGGAUGAUCCGCCACACGGGAACUGAGACACGGUCCAGACUCCUACGGGAGGCAGCAGUGGGGAAUUUUGGACAAUGGGCGCAAGCCUGAUCCAGCCAUGCCGCGUGAGUGAAGAAGGCCUCGGUUGUAAAGCUCUUUCGGUCCGGGAAGAAAGUACGCACAGGUUAAGUACCCUGUGUGGAUGACGGUACCGGAAGUAAGAAGCACCGGCUAACUACGUGCCAGCA
This 491-nucleotide ribosomal RNA is filed under the name uncultured bacterium. RNAcentral's name for it is "bacterial SSU rRNA". It matches the Rfam family "Bacterial small subunit ribosomal RNA", at positions 30 to 513 of the family's 1533-position model. The record is from RNAcentral.